This 72-nucleotide unclassified non-coding RNA is filed under the name Kroppenstedtia eburnea. The record is from RNAcentral. Lineage: Bacteria; Bacillati; Bacillota; Bacilli; Caryophanales; Thermoactinomycetaceae.
AACCGCCGUAUACCGAACGGUACGUACGAUGGUGUGAGAGGACGGGGGUUAAUCGCCCCCUCCUACUCGUUU